UACGUAGGGUCCGAGCGUUGUCCGGAAUUAUUGGGCGUAAAGAGCUCGUAGGCGGUUUGUCGCGUCUGCCGUGAAAGUCCGGGGCUCAACCCCGGGCCUGCAGUGGGUACGGGCUGACUAGAGUGCGGUAGGGGAGACUGGAAUUCCUGGUGUAGCGGUGAAAUGCGCAGAUAUCAGGAGGAACACCGGUGGCGAAGGCGGGUCUCUGGGCCGUAACUGACGCUGAGGAGCGAAAGCGUGGGGAGCGAACAGG
RNAcentral lists this ribosomal RNA (253 nucleotides) under uncultured bacterium. RNAcentral describes it as "partial 16S ribosomal RNA". It matches the Rfam family "Bacterial small subunit ribosomal RNA", at positions 524 to 776 of the family's 1533-position model. The record is from RNAcentral.